Molecule: non-coding RNA, 46 nt
Organism: Chelonia mydas (Green sea turtle)
Lineage: Eukaryota; Metazoa; Chordata; Testudines; Cheloniidae
Source: Rfam
ACAAAGGCUCUUUUAAGAACCACCAUUCUAGUGUAAAAAAAUUCUG